GAUGAACGCUGGCGGCGUGCCUAAUACAUGCAAGUCGAGCGAACGGACGAGAAGCUUGCUUCUCUGAUGUUAGCGGCGGACGGGUGAGUAACACGUGGAUAACCUACCUAUAAGACUGGGAUAACUUCGGGAAACCGGAGCUAAUACCGGAUAAUAUUUUGAACCGCAUGGUUCAAAAGUGAAAGACGGUCUUGCUGUCACUUAUAGAUGGAUCCGCGCUGCAUUAGUUAGUUGGUAAGGUAACGGCUUACCAAGGCAACGAUGCAGAGCCGACCUGAGAGGGUGGUCGGCCACACGGGAACUGAGACACGGUCCAGACUCCUACGGGAGGCAGCAGUAGGGAAUCUUCCGCAAUGGGCGAAAGCCUGACGGAGCAACGCCGCGUGAGUGAUGAAGGUCUUCGGAUCGUAAAACUCUGUUAUUAGGGAAGAACAUAUGUGUAAGUAACUGUGCACAUCUUGACGGUACCUAAUCAGAAAGCCACGGCUAACUACGUG
Molecule: ribosomal RNA, 497 nt
Filed under: uncultured bacterium
Lineage: Bacteria
Description: partial 16S ribosomal RNA
Rfam family: Bacterial small subunit ribosomal RNA
Source: RNAcentral